AUGCCAGCGAGCAGCCGGCCGCUACGUAGACUCGUCCAAAAAGAUAAUCCCUACCCGUCCCCCGGCGCCGCCAUUCCUCGCCCGAGCCGGCGCUCCCGCUGGAGGACGAGGACCUCCUACAGGAGAUCCUCCUCCGCUGCCGUCCGCCCUCCCCCGCGCCUCCCUCCGCUGCAAGCGCUGGCGCGGCAUCCUCUCCGACGCCCGGCACCACCGGAGGCGCUCGCUCCUCAGCUUCAUGACAAGGUGGGAGUACGGCAUGAGGCACGAAUUCGUCCCUCUCCCGCACAAGAAGCCCGACCGCAUCCCCCCGGUGCGCUUCGCCGUGCCCAGGAGCUGCACCAUUCAUGGGCGCUGGCAAUUCCUCGGCUACCGCCACGGCCUUGCCGGCAUGCUCAAUGUGUGUCGGCGCGAGGUCGUCGUCUGGGAUCCCCUCACGGGCUGGCAGCACCGCGUGCCUUUUCCACCGGGGAUCCGCAACUCCGAGGGGGAGGGUUUGUGGAUAUGGCACACGCAGCGGUGCUGUGUGCUGAUGCUGAUGUCAAAUGUGGUUGUUCUGGCUACGCUUUUUGGCGACUUCGUGCUCCUACUUGA
This 591-nucleotide ribosomal RNA is filed under the name Triticum aestivum (bread wheat). RNAcentral describes it as "partial small subunit ribosomal RNA". Lineage: Eukaryota; Viridiplantae; Streptophyta; Magnoliopsida; Poales; Poaceae. The record is from RNAcentral.